RNAcentral lists this non-coding RNA (23 nucleotides) under Cricetulus griseus (Chinese hamster). The record is from RNAcentral. Lineage: Eukaryota; Metazoa; Chordata; Mammalia; Rodentia; Cricetidae.
AAACACUGAAGAAUUCUAUGAAU